This 468-nucleotide ribosomal RNA is filed under the name uncultured bacterium. Its description in RNAcentral is "partial 16S ribosomal RNA". It matches the Rfam family "Bacterial small subunit ribosomal RNA", at positions 28 to 507 of the family's 1533-position model. The record is from RNAcentral.
GACGAACGCUGGCGGCGUGCUUAACACAUGCAAGUCGAACGGAAAGGCCCUGCUUUUGUGGGGUGCUCGAGUGGCGAACGGGUGAGUAACACGUGAGUAACCUGCCCUUGACUUUGGGAUAACUUCAGGAAACUGGGGCUAAUACCGGAUAGGAGCUCCUGCUGCAUGGUGGGGGUUGGAAAGUUUCGGCGGUUGGGGAUGGACUCGCGGCUUCUCCGCUUGUUGGUGGGGUAGUGGCUUACCAAGGCUUUGACGGGUAGCCGGCCUGAGAGGGUGACCGGCCACAUUGGGACUGAGAUACGGCCCAGACUCCUACGGGAGGCAGCAGUGGGGAAUAUUGCACAAUGGGCGGAAGCCUGAUGCAGCAACGCCGCGUGCGGGAUGACGGCCUUCGGGUUGUAAACCGCUUUCGCCUGUGACGAAGCGUGAGUGACGGUAAUGGGUAAAGAAGCACCGGCUAACUACGUG